Molecule: non-coding RNA, 115 nt
Filed under: Nostocoides jenkinsii
Lineage: Bacteria; Bacillati; Actinomycetota; Actinomycetes; Micrococcales; Intrasporangiaceae
Also listed under: 1 other name
Description: Tetrasphaera jenkinsii SAM-IV sequence
Rfam family: SAM (S-adenosyl methionine) riboswitch aptamer
About the family: SAM-IV is a mRNA element that regulates gene expression via direct sensing of S-adenosylmethionine (SAM or AdoMet). SAM-IV riboswitches share conserved nucleotide positions with the previously described SAM-I riboswitches sequence analysis and molecular recognition experiments suggest that SAM-I and SAM-IV riboswitches share similar ligand binding sites, but have different scaffolds.
Source: RNAcentral
GGUCACGAGUUCCAGCGUGAAGCCCCGGCUGGCUGGACGGCAACCCUCUGCUGCAGCGGGGUGCCCCGGGAGGCGACCAGGCGCCCGCCAUGACGGCGGUCUGCAAGUGCACGGG